AGCACUCAGUAACAAAGUCUCCUGUGAAUGGCUGGAAUCCAGCAGGUUAUUUCAAUACAACACCGUGCGAGCAACACAGCAACAUUCCGAGGGUGGGAGUGCUUACAAGGUGUUCCCACUUUCUUUCUGAGACAUAGUGGAGUGCCUCAUCCGUGAAGGGCCGCCGAGGAAAUGUCAGCAUUGGCUCUGCAGCAGGGAAAAGGAUUAUUUGGGAGCAUGGUGUGCCACAGGCAUAGACACUGAAAGGAGGACCACACCAAGGAGAAACAACCCGAGGGAUGAACAGAAGAAAUCACACACGGAUUUACACAAAGCACAAUGGGACAAUCUACAAACAUAAGCCAAGAGCAAAGGAGGAGCCAACGUGUUAAAGAAAAUUGUUGCUCGGAUGGAACUUCUAACCCUUAACUUUUUGUUUGCGUUGUCAGCUAACUUGUUUGUUCGUAAACAAAUGCAUGUUGAACGCUCUCCCUCUCAUCCCCCAUUGCGGUACACUUCGUUCAAUUUCUCAUAUACCUUCGUCGUAAUACAGUGAUUGAUAUACAUAAACGUUUGUUUUCCAUGAACCAAUUUUUAUUUUUUUGUUACUCCUCCAUUACCCAGUAACUACCGUGCUCGAUUAAGAUUGCCCCUUCGAAAUUGCCAUUGCUUUUCACUUUGCAUUUCGCUAACGGAUGGUGUGAAUGUGUGAAUUUCAACAGCAAUGCGGAAAAUGCAACUUUCAGUUAUUUUUACGAAAACCUUAAGAUUUCUGAUGCAACGUUACUGAUGUGUGAUGGUGAUGUGUUUUUAUGUCCAUAGUUAUUUCAAAAUUGAAUUAAAAUGCAUAAUCGCAAUUAGUAACCCCCUCCUUUGCAAAACUGUGUGCAUGUUAAAACCAUCAGCAACCAUAAAUACACCAUUCUUUCAAUACGGCUCGGCUUCCUUUGCAAAAAAAACCUCCACGUGGUAUGUUUUUAAAAUCAUAAUGUAUUGCUACAAAGACAUUUUUGCAGAGUCCCAGGAGAGCCGGCCGUGGACAAAACCUUAGUAUGUCUAAUAAUACUCUUGUUGUUUUGAGAGUUCCAGUUUCUUAAAGAUCUAUUCGGGAUUUCGGAAAAAAGGAAGGAAAAAUGCUCCAACAGCCAUCGUUUUUUUGUAAUUGUGAAAUUGGCUUGAAAAAUUCCCCCAUAUGAAUUGUUUAAUAUGCUCACAGAUUGCCUGUAAGUAGAUAUGUACCCGGACUGCUUUUCAGUUUAUUUUGCAAAGUCCCGUUUUAAUAUCUAUACCUAUAUCAGUCAAUCUAUAGAUAGCUUUUCCUGUAGGCACAGUUUAUUGUGCAUGCACACGUAUCUUCUUGUGCUGCAAUUGCUGCCCUUUAUAAUUAACUAUAGUAGUAGGGUCAGUUCCAUUUAGGUGAAUAUUUAUGUUAACUGAAUAGAAAUUGGGGAAGCUCGUUUUCUGGCUAAGUCUGUUUUCUUAAAGAAAAGUUAAAUGAAUUCCUUUAUUUCAAACAGAGUUUGCAUUGUGAGUAUUCUGAAAGUAAGAAAAAUAAAACAAAAACGGCAUAAAUGUUUCCUAUCUUAUAAACCUGUUGCUGCCGAACAUGGAGGAAAAUUAUUGCAUUUGAACAUGGAUUUUAAUAUGGAUUUCUGCUGUGUAAAUAAAUUGCCCCAUGUAAAACCAAAUUCAUAGACUGGUUCUCUAUUCCUGUACACUUUGCAGCCUAAUUUGUGAAUUUGUUAUCAAUAUCCAUGUAAGUCAAAGUAACAUUACUGGUAUAAGUGAGGGAAACAUAUUUCUUAAUUUGUUUGGAGAGCAGCUCCCUUUGGCUGGUGGUUUUUAUGACAAUAUAAAUGAUUUGAACAGGUACACUACAAUAGCAGAAAUACUAAUAAAAGAUGGUGUACUCAAUAACUGGCAAUCUCCAGUCAUACUCCAACUUGACAAAAUUCUAGUGAUUGAUUGGUAAUUUGAUACAACCCAGUGCAAGGAUUGAAUUAGGGUAGACACACAUGUGAAUGCUGCACCAUUUCCACUUUGCUCAAAUUAACAGUGAAUGAAUGUGAUUUUGUGUUGCAAAUGUGGCUAGAGGAAUAACCUGCGAGUAACCAAUGGGUAUUGCAUAGUUUCCUGUAGCAAUUUGAUUAGUUACCCUCAAUUCCACAUUUCUUGUUCAACUCUCUUUGAUACAACAUAUAAUUUUCUAAUUUAACUCCAAUAAAUCCCAGUAACUCUUCUCAGUUCCCUCCAGAAGCAAUGCCCACAAUUCCAAUCACUCAUCUCAGCCCCUGGCUCACGUUGACCUUAAUGGGCUACAAUAGCAGUGAUCUUUUGAACCCAGUGCAGAUCCUUAAGUCCCGCAUCUUAUCCAACAUCAAGAAGGUCUAUAUUUGACUUUGCAAAACCACGUGCUUCUGACUCCCCUUUUUCCACUCCCAAUUGGAAUUCUCAUCCAUGCAGUCAUCACCUCCAGAUUCAAUUUUUUUUUCCCUAGCUCCAUCAUACUCCACUAUCUUCAAAAUUAUGUUGUUUUCAUUUAAAGUUUACCGACAUCAUACUGAGCCCUAAUCUCUCAUCACUAAGUCCCUGGCACUUAAAUUUAGAAUUUUUCCCCACAAUUUACAAAAUCAUUCAUAACCUUAAUCCAUUUUGCCUCAUGCCAAGUGUUCCAGGCUACACUUUUUAAUUUUCUGUAACUAGUCUACAAUAUCUACCUUCUUAUGCUUCAUUGUGGUCAUUUUGAUAUUGCACCAUUAAAUGUUCUUCUCAAAUGAAA
Molecule: long non-coding RNA, 2758 nt
Organism: Stegostoma tigrinum
Lineage: Eukaryota; Metazoa; Chordata; Chondrichthyes; Orectolobiformes; Stegostomatidae
Exons: 3
Source: RefSeq, a predicted model, not a curated record